Molecule: transfer RNA, 72 nt
Filed under: Phrynosoma platyrhinos (Desert horned lizard)
Lineage: Eukaryota; Metazoa; Chordata; Lepidosauria; Squamata; Phrynosomatidae
Description: tRNA-OTHER
Source: RNAcentral
CCCAGUGUGGUGUAGUGGUUUGAGCAUUGGACUAGGACUCUGGAGAUUGGGGUUCGAUUCCCUGCUCAGCCA